RNAcentral lists this ribosomal RNA (423 nucleotides) under uncultured bacterium. RNAcentral's name for it is "partial 16S ribosomal RNA". It matches the Rfam family "Bacterial small subunit ribosomal RNA", at positions 359 to 774 of the family's 1533-position model. The record is from RNAcentral.
GAAUCUUCCACAAUGGACGAAAGUCUGAUGGAGCAAUGCCGCGUGAGUGAAGAAGGUUUUCGGAUCGUAAAACUCUGUUGUGAGGGAAGAACAAGUAUGAGCGUAACGGCUCGUACCUUGACGGUACCCCAUUAGAAAGCCACGGCUAACUACGUGCCAGCAGCCGGGGUAAUACGUAGGUGGCAAGCGUUGUACGGAAUUAUUGGGCGUAAAGCGCGCGCAGGCGGUCCUUUAAGGCGGAUGUGAAAUCCCACGGCUCAACCGUGGAAGGUCAUUGGAAACUGGGGGACUUGAGUACAGAAGAGGAAAGCGGAAUUCCAAGUGUAGCGGUGAAAUGCGUAGAGAUUUGGAGGAACACCAGCGGCGAAGGCGGCUUUCUGGUCUGUAACUGACGCUGAGGCGCGAAAGCGUGGGGAGCAAACA